Pelobates cultripes (western spadefoot toad) is the source of this 270-nucleotide non-coding RNA. The record is from the annotation of a GenBank genome assembly. NCBI's taxonomy places the organism in Eukaryota, Metazoa, Chordata, Amphibia, Anura, Pelobatidae.
AGCCCGCCCAUUAAUUCUUCAUCCCUUAAAUUCUUCAUCCCUUAUAACCUUCCUCUGCUCUCUCCUAUUUUCUCCCAAACAAUCCUCCCGUACGUUCAGGGAUAUCCAAAUCAUUUGUUUCCCUCUCUGUAUUUGUCCCUCAUCCUUUUAGAUUGUAAGCCUGUUUAGGCAGGGCCCUCUUCACUUACUAUCCCCGAAUGCCAGAUAUGUUUUGUCAGAAUUAUUUGUUAGUCUUGGUUUAUCAAUCGCGCAUAGCAGCUGAUUAUGUUG